This 253-nucleotide ribosomal RNA is filed under the name uncultured bacterium. RNAcentral's name for it is "partial 16S ribosomal RNA". It matches the Rfam family "Bacterial small subunit ribosomal RNA", at positions 524 to 776 of the family's 1533-position model. The record is from RNAcentral.
UACGUAGGAUGCAAGCGUUGUCCGGAAUUAUUGGGCGUAAAGAGCUCGUAGGCGGCUCGUUGCGUCGGCUGUGAAAACCCGCAGCUCAACUGUGGGCUUGCAGCUGAUACGGGCGGGCUGGAGUUCGGUAGGGGAGACUGGAAUUCCUGGUGUAGCGGUGAAAUGCGCAGAUAUCAGGAGGAACACCGGUGGCGAAGGCGGGUCUCUGGGCCGAUACUGACGCUGAGGAGCGAAAGCGUGGGGAGCGAACAGG